This 253-nucleotide ribosomal RNA is filed under the name uncultured bacterium. Its description in RNAcentral is "partial 16S ribosomal RNA". It matches the Rfam family "Bacterial small subunit ribosomal RNA", at positions 524 to 776 of the family's 1533-position model. The record is from RNAcentral.
UACGUAGGAUGCAAGCGUUGUCCGGAAUUAUUGGGCGUAAAGAGCGCGCAGGCGGUAUGACAAGUCAGAUGUGAAAGAGGCCGGCUUAACCGGCAAGGGUCAUUUGAAACUGUCAGACUAGAGUGCAGCAGAGGAUAGUGGAAUUCCCGGUGUAGUGGUGAAAUGCGUAGAUAUCGGGAGGAACACCAGUGGCGAAGGCGACUAUCUGGGCUGCAACUGACGCUGAGGAGCGAAAGCGUGGGUAGCAAACAGG